CAUGGCAACAAUAACUCGUACAAUGGUUGUUAAGUUGUCUCGUAGUCCUACAAUUUAGCUCAUGAGGUGGUUGUUUCGCGAAGCAACGACCUCUUUCUCUCUCCUCGCUCUCUCUCCUCCACAUCGUCAAAAAUCCUACGUGGCACUGCAUGAGAUGACCUAUGAGACCGCUGACGUGUAGCAAUGUACUUGCCCUAAUCCCUGUAACGUGUGAGGUGAGCUGGCAAUUGGCAUCGACGGUUGAUAAGGGCAAAAGAUGGGCCACACGAGAGUGGGCUAUAUGCUUAUUUUCAGUCUCACAACGUUGAGCCAAUAAAAAUCUCACCCUUAGUAAAACCUCCCGUUCCCCUCUUUCUCUCUGCCUCGUGCUUCUUCCUUCCUUCGCGCCGCCAUCCAUCUCCCGCAAGUGCUGCCAUCGCCCAUCCUCCCAUACCCUCCCUCCUCAUCUGCACUAUGCACGGAUCAAAUUCCCUACAUAGCACCUCCCUCCGGUCUGAGUUACCCUUUGUUUCAAGUUUUGCAAGGGAGAGGGGGAGAUCUGUCCAACCUUUGGCUACCUCCAUGAGCUGCCGCCAAGGUGGCCGUCUUCCCAAUCCAUGCGGCGUACAUGGCUAGGGAAGACUAGAGCGUGGAGAAGACUGCACGGAAGGUGUCACUGGCGUUGAGGUCUGCGAGCAAGGAAGGGGGCGUGUUGCGGAGGUUUGGAUGGACCGGCGCCUGCGGCUUCAACCUCCUCUUCGAUUUCAGGUUAACAGCAUCCUCCUUCAACUUCAUCCUCGUACUCGUGGUGGAGCUCACGGCUCACGCAUCUCUCGAGCUCAAGUUGGUGGCGGGAGCAAACGACGAGAACACAAAUAAUGGGAGGAGAUGGUAGUGGAGAGAGAGAAUAUUGAUUUUUUAUCUAUAUGACCAGUCUUCUCAUAAGUUAUGAACCACUAUAAAGACUGCUCCACAAUGGUGAGCCGGCCCAUAUAGAUCUAUAAAGAUCACUUUUCCUCUCAAUUGUAGCUGCCCUAACUAGUACGACCGGUCAAGAUCACGUUGUAUAUAUUGGUGUUAGCUAGGCGCGUAGCAAUAACCAGAAUCGCGCAACAAGAUGCGUGCUUCUGCGUGACAACUGAUACACUCGCUCAUUUGCUUUUGUUAGUAAUUAGUGAUAUGUAGAGGAGAUCAUCGAGAAGCCCUCUAGAUUCAUCGUCAUAAGAGAAAAAUCAGAACUGUAUUAUACUACCAUUUAACUUAAUUCUAGAUUGUACUGGACCUCUGAAAACUUGUAUUAAUUUGUGUCAUUGCUGCGUGCGCGUAAACGAACCACAUUUCCAUUGCCAAGCUGCAUUGAUCUCCUAGUAGCCGAUUUGUGAACUCUCCUUAUUUCCAUUGCCGUGCACUAGACCAUGCAUGAUUGAUGUGCAUCGGUACGCUGCAUGCACUCCUUUGGUACCCAAGAAGCUAUACAUCUUCCGAUGAGUGGUGGGUCCAAAUUUGAAGCUAGCAUCCAUCAGGCCACGGGGGCAGCAUGUAUGGGUGCACGCGCGUGUAGAGUUUGACUUCCAUCUCUUCGGAGUUCUGAUGAGUGAUGACAGGAGCGAAGACCGGGAGGAGUUAACAGGAGAUUGAGCAAAGGCCUAGCCGGCUAGUAGCUACGACAUCAUGAGCCUCGGGCUAGUGAAAUGGCCUACCGGUGAGCAGCUUGGCCUGGGUGUUUUAGGCCCGUUUGGAUACCCCUUGUUAAAGUUUAGCACCUGUCACAUCGGAUGUUUGAUGCUAAUUAGGAGUAUUAAACAUAAAUUAAUUGUACAUAUGGAGUCGCGAAUUGGAGUCUAAUUCGCGAGACGAAUCUAUUAAGCCUAAUUAGUCCAUGAUUUGACAAUGUGAUGCUACAGUAACCAUUUACUAAUGAUGGAUUAGCACAGGGGUUCUGCAAUUAGUUUUAUAAUUAGCUCAUGUUUAGUCCUCCUAAUUAGUAUUCGAACAUCUGAUGUGACACUGCUAAAGUUUAGCACAUAGUAUCCAAACACCCCACUCUGGACCUAGUACAAAUCAAUCAAUAAUGACCACGCCCACCAAUCCAAUUCCAAACGAAAAAUGGAAGUGACACCGUCAGGUAUACUUGAACUUAGGGCCUGUUUGGAUACCCUGUGUUAAAGUAGGCCCUUUGGAUACCCUGUGUUAAAGUUUAACAAGUGUUAAAGUUUUAACACUCUCAAAUGGAGUGCUAAAGUUUAACACAGUGGUGUGUUUGGAUGGUGUGUUAAACUUUAACACCUUUGGUGGGAAAUGACUCCAUUGCCCCCUCAUUUAUGGCUAGCGGAGAGAGAGGGAGGAGAGAGAAGGGGGUAAUGGUGGGAAAAAGUGGAGAGGGGACCACUUUUAACAAGUUUAACAACUUUUAAUACCCCUUUGAGGUGUUUAUGAAAUUGGAGGUGUUAAACUUUAACACAUCCCUUUUAACACAUGUGUUUGGGAGGUAAUGUGAUAAAAAAGGUAUUAAAAGUGGGGUGUUAAACUUUAACACCCCCUAUCCAAAUAGGACCUUAUCGAUCUGUACCGAACUCUGUGUUUUUUUUCCUUCUACAUGUAUUUAGGACCUAUUUGGGAAGGGGGUGUUAAAGUUUAACAGGGUGUUAAACUUUAACACCCUCAAAUGGAGUGUUAAACUUUAGUAUCUUGAAGUGUUUGGAUAGUUUGUUAAACUUUAACACGUUACAUGAGAAAUGACAAUAUUGCCCCUCCUUCCUCUUGCACACUACCCUUUCCCGUGCUGCUGCGCUAUCUCUGCUCUCGUAAAAUCGAUGAGAGGUGGGAACUGCGUGCUCUCCUAACAUUGCCCCUUAGGAGAGGAGAGGACCGGGGAUGGAGGGGCUGUACUUAGGGGCCGAUGGUGGUGGAGGAGAAGCCGCUCGCCAGCUCUCCCACGCGGCCACUCAUCGGCGCCGCUCGAAGCCGCCCUCCGCGCCCGCGCCUACUCCUGCCGAAGCCGCCUCUCGCACCCACCGCCGAAGCCGCCACCUGCCCCGAAGCCGCGCCGCCGAAGUCGCCACCUACCCCGCCGCCGAAGCUGCGCUGCCCCGGUCCCUCCUGCGCCCAUCACUGAAGCCGCCACCCCCGCCGCCGCCUGCCCCGCCGCCGAAGCCACGCCCGCCCGGCCGCUGUUGCCGCGCCAGCUGCUCCCGGUCGCCCGCCGCUACCUCCGAGAGGAGAGAGGAUGGAAGAGAGGAGGACCUGUGGGCGGGAGGAGAUGCCACCGCCCGCUGCCCGCGCGAGGCCACCAGCUAGCCGCGGGGCCGGAGGGGAAGACCAAGGUGCCGUCCACCGGCUCGCCGCGCCGUGGAUCUGGGGUGGCGUGGGGAGGAGACGAAGGUGGGCGGAAUGGGAGGACCUGCGGGCGGGGAUGGCCGGCGGGAUGGAUAGCCCGACGCUGCUUGCUUCCGCCGUCGCCCUCCUCCCGAGAUCCUGUCCCGGCGCAGGAGCGAAGCGGACCGGUGGUGGCAGGCACAGCGGCGGCGCGCGACGGGCGGACCGGCGGCGGCGGGCACAGGCGCACAGCGGAGGGAGCGCAGAGCGGCAGCGCCGCGCGCGGAUCGAGGGAGGAAGAUGGGGGGCAGCGGAGGAGAGGGGGGCAACCAGGGGAUAUGUGAACUAGGGGACCACUUUUAACACCUUUAGCAAGUUUUAACACCCCCUCUGUGUGUUUAUGAAAAAUAGGGUGUUAAACUUUAACACAACUAUUUUAACACAACUAUUUGGCAGCCAAUAUGUUGGGGGUGUUUGGGAAACACCUGUUAAAGUUUAACACCUGUCACAUCGGAUGUUUGGAUGCUAAUUAGGAGUACUAAACAUAAGCUAAUUACAAAACUAAUNNNNNNNNNNNNNNNNNNNNNNNNNNNNNNNNNNNNNNNNNNNNNNNNNNNNNNNNNNNNNNNNNNNNNNNNNNNNNNNNNNNNNNNNNNNNNNNNNNNNUGGAGUAUUCGGCUUAUAGAUUCGUCUCGCGAAUCAGCACAAGGUUCUGCAAUUAGUUUUAUAAUUAGCUCAUGUUUAGUCCUCCUAAUUAGCAUCCAAACAUCCGAUGUGACACUGUUAAAGUUUAGCACCUCGUAUCCAAACAGCCCCUUAAAAAGAUGUUAAAAGGGUGUUAAACUUUAACACCCCUUCCCAAACAGGAGCUUAAGAGCGUAUAUCAAUUUUUUUUCCGCAUUGUAUAGAGACCGGCUCUAGAAUCCGGACUGCAUGGACAUGACAUAAGCCACUUUAUGUGCAGGGCUGAUGACUUUAUAUCAUGUGCUGUGCAUAAAAGGAUACUUCAUUUCAUGUGAAAAGCUACCUUUGUUAAUUUUCGUGCGCCCCUCCAAUAGUUUCUUACCACUUUCCCAUGUGCUGCCAGCAGCUUUUUUUCUCCUUUCAGGAAUAUUUUAACAUAUGAUGUGCUCCGUCAGGGCCUUCGAGUAAAUAUCAGUGGUACAUCAAUAUGCAACGGUGUACACAUAGGUGCAAAUCAGAAAGAAUCUGUACAGUCCCGGUACAUCGUUGUUCACUAAAAAAACAAAAUGAAUUCUAGCCACCGCCUGCGUGUACACCCACCACCACCGAAUCUGACCCCAGCGCCGCCGCCACCGUCGUCGGAUUCGUGCCACCGCUGAUGGAUGUGUAGAGAGAGAAGAUGGCCGGAUGAAAGAGAAAAGGAGGUGGUUCAAAUGAAUUUGAAAUCUUGUACAUGAAUGUAUUGCGCUAUUUAUUAUAUCUACAACACGUAUAAAAUAUGGUCCUGUAUGCAUACAUGUACAUGAUGUGUUUAUAUCUCAAGACGCAUACAACUGAUACAUCAAUGGGCAGGGUAACAUCUACGAUAGCAUUAGGAAG
This 4857-nucleotide long non-coding RNA is filed under the name Setaria italica (foxtail millet). RNAcentral describes it as "long non-coding RNA (SITA_LNC001320)". Lineage: Eukaryota; Viridiplantae; Streptophyta; Magnoliopsida; Poales; Poaceae. The record is from RNAcentral.